GGGGAAUAUUGCACAAUGGGGGAAACCCUGAUGCAGCGACGCCGCGUGAAGGAAGAAGUAUCUCGGUAUGUAAACUUCUAUCAGCAGGGAAGAAAAUGACGGUACCUGACUAAGAAGCCCCGGCUAACUACGUGCCAGCAGCCGCGGUAAUACGUAGGGGGCAAGCGUUAUCCGGAUUUACUGGGUGUAAAGGGAGCGUAGACGGAUGGACAAGUCUGAUGUGAAAGGCUGGGGCUCAACCCCGGGACUGCAUUGGAAACUGCCCGUCUUGAGUGCCGGAGAGGUAAGCGGAAUUCCUAGUGUAGCGGUGAAAUGCGUAGAUAUUAGGAGGAACACCAGUGGCGAAGGCGGCUUACUGGACGGUAACUGACGUUGAGGCUCGAAAGCGUGGGGAGCAAACAGGAUUAGAUACCCUGGUAGUCCACGCGGUAAACGAUGAAUGCUAGGUGUCGGGUGAC
RNAcentral lists this ribosomal RNA (458 nucleotides) under uncultured bacterium. Its description in RNAcentral is "bacterial SSU rRNA". It matches the Rfam family "Bacterial small subunit ribosomal RNA", at positions 356 to 831 of the family's 1533-position model. The record is from RNAcentral.